CGUCGGUGGAAUUAUGUGUACGUAUGAAAAUGGCGAUAAAUUUCGUUCAUGUGAUUGAAUAACUCACAUUUUUCGGGACUCGGAAAUUGAAUAUUUACGGUAAAAUUAAGUUUGAUUUAUCAAAUUUAAGUUCGUGUUGAACUUCCGCGAGUGGUUACUCAUCGCGAGUGAAAUUAAUCGGGUGUCGUUAGCAACUUCUCUCUGAUUACCGCCCGAUAUCCGACACGAGUUUCAGUCCGAAAUUGACCGAAGGCUUCCUCCUUGAGCAAAUCAUAAGGUGGUGCGAAAUUUUCCGAUUUAUCUCUGUUCAUCCGCGAGUGCGAGGACUCUCAGUGUCUAUAAUGAAUUUUAUCAGAAACUUUACAUAGUCAAGAUUGAGUGCAAACCAUCAGUUUAUCAUUUUUAGGCUUAAGUUUUUUUUUUAUUUAAGAUGCAAGAAGUCCAUCUAUGAGGACUCCUAAUUCAUUUUUGUACACGUUGCCAUGCAUAACCCUAGACAACCCACUAAUCACAAAACAACAAAUCAGCAGUACCGGUAUCAACCCACACAUGUAGGGCCGCAGGCGAGUCGACACCAUUAUGGGACUGCUAAUGGUGGUGGCAAUACCACGUUACCUCAAAGGCCGCAAAUGAUCCAGACCGCCCAUAACGCGUCUCUGGGUGGUUCAGAUUUGCAACACAUGGCCGAUUACAACUCAAGUAACAUGGCACAACAACAGCGAACGCAUGUUUUCCCAGGUCAAGUGCCGCCAAUGUCAAAUAUCCCGAACUAUCAACCAUCGUUCAGAAGAGGUCCCUAUGCUGGACCAGUUAUGAUUCCAGGGGCUCCGAACGUUCCAGGAGUGCAAUAUUACAUUGUUCAGCCGGGUCCACAGCCUUCUCUUGCUCCUCGAUAUCCUAUGAUGUAUUUAAAUUCAACUCCCUCAUUUCAACCUACAGAACAGAUUCCGUAUACAACUCCAACGACACACUCAGAUCAGACUUAUGUUCCUUCUACAGAUUAUAGCGCACCUGUCUAUCAACCACAAACCGAGUCAUCUACGCAUUCGUCGGAGCAGCCAAAGACUUCCUCUCGGCCGAGGAGACCAUUAACUAUACAAAAUCCUGAGACUUUGGAAGUAAUAAAUAUAGAUUCAGAAAACACUAGCUCAUCUUCGAAAAAUGACGCCUCCGGUGGAUCAGGAAAAGAUGGGAAGAGUCAAACUGUUGAUGCUAGACAAGAACUUUAUGAUAAGGUCCAUGCUCUCACAGAAAGUAGCACUAGUGAUAGCAAGAAACAGGAUCCAUCUCCAAAAUUAAGUCCAGGCAGCCGUGCGGUCUCAAAUGGACCUGUUAGCAUUGAGCCUGCUGUCUUAGAUCCUACACAAGGCGAAGGAAUGGGUGAAGCAAUCAUUAAUGCAGGUCCUAUCCACCACCCUACCAAGGUCUCAAUUGAAAGACCAUCGCUCAUUGGUCAAUCAUUAAUUUAUGACUCAAUGAAACCAUUAGAUGUGCGAUCUGAGCAACUAACGCCAGUGGUCAGCGCAAAUACAAAUGCUCCUGCCAAGCAUAUUGCUCACAAACAAGGAAUGAUAAUAAAGAGUACUCAAAUGUAAAAUCAAGCAGUGGAUCGACUGUUGGAAAUAUCUCAGGAUCUUCACCAGCGAGACAAGGCAACAAGAAAGCUGGUCCUCAAGUCAUGGAGUCUAAAAAGAUUGUUCAGCAACAAUCGACACCCCUGGCUGUGAAUUCAACUCCUAGUACCAUUCCUGCUGUUGAGACAGGAACAGCCUCAAGCGGACCAGGCCUUUCCAGGCAUAUUCCAGUCUCAACCACAUCUGUUUCAUCAGUCGCAUCAGAACCUGCACCUGCUGCAUCUGCUGAAACUACUCCGCAAACUGUCACUGCCCAGCAGCAAGUUCCGAAUAGAGCCCAAGAUGAAUUUAAAACCGUUGUGCGGCACAAAAAGAAUCAUCAGGGCUCAAGCUCAGUCCCUCAUAAUGCUGAAGUUCAAAUGUCUGAUGCAGAGUAUAAUCCUCCUCCCCCUCCAAGAGAAAAGCGGGAGAAAAAUAAGGCAAACUCGCAAGCAAGCUCUGCUGUCAAGGAAGGACAGGCAAAGACCAAUGAAAAACCUGCAAAUGAAUCUCAAAGCAAAUCCCAGAAUGUGCCAUCAUCGAAUCAAAAAUCUCAAUCGAAUCAUUCAGCUCAAAAACAAAUGGAGAAUGCAUCCCCUGCCAGACAGAAUAAAAAAUCCAAUGCAAGUGCUCAGAGCGCAGAGAGUAAGAAGAACGCUGCUAAUGCAACCCAACACGCUCCAGUCACUGCUAACACAUUUUCGAGUGUACUAGCAGCACCAGAAACUGCUCAACCCAAAGCCCCUAUCGAGAUCUCCCCUGCCACAGUGAAGCCGCAGAUGGCUGAUAUGGAGCUAGAUGACUUCAAAUGGUGGUUGGUAAGAAAUCAAGGAAAAUUGAAAUACAAGUUGUCAAAAAAGACCCUGUUCCUGAACCAGAAGUUCCUGCACCAACACCUGCCCCAGCUCCUAAAGAAAAACGUGAAAAGAACAAGGCUAACAUGACAGCUGCCAAAGAGGCCCAUUCAAGUGCUAAGAAUGAAAAAUCAUCAGUGCCAUCCACCAAUCAAAAAUCGUCUCAGCCCGCACCAAAAGAGAAAUUGGACAAAGAAAAAUCCGAAAAAUCUGAAAAAUUAGACAAAGUAGAAAAAGUAGAAAAAGUUGAGAAAGUUGAAAAAAUAGAAAAGGCCGAAAAGGAAAAGGUGGAGAAAGUGGAAAAAGAGAAGCCUGAGAAAGUAGAAAAACCUGAAAAACCGGUAACAGAAAAUGUUGAGAAAAUUGAAAAGGCCGACAAGGUUGCUAAAUCUGAAAAAGUUGAGAAAGUUCUGGAGUCAGAAUCUGAAUCGCCAGCUAGUGCUGUUGCACAGCCAGAGUCAAAGCCUGCCAGCGCAGCACCGGAGCCGACUCCAGCUGCAGCACCCGCCUCGGCCCCUGCGCCCGCUGUUCCUGCAGCUGCUCCUGCACCGGCACCCGCACCUGCACCAGCGCCUGCACCUGUGAUGGAGCUUAAUCCUGAUGGUGAGUUCCUUUUUGCAUGUUUUUAAUACUUUUUCUUACAUUUGCCUGCAAAUUUUCAGAGGUGCCUUAGGCCACUUAGUAUUUGUCAGACUUAGGACUGUUUAUUCAGGAAAGUCAGUAGUUGGAUUAGCUUGAUACUCACUGAUGAGAAACUUGUUGAGCUUUCUCUUGGGCUAAUGAUGAUAGGUUAAUAUCUAGUUAAGCAUUUUGCUAAGGAAGUUUGUGUGUCUGAAUCAUGUUUGCCCGUCAGAUUCCUCACCACGCUGCUUAUCUGUCAUUAUUAGGCAACAAGCAGUGUUGAUCCCUG
RNAcentral lists this long non-coding RNA (3377 nucleotides) under Bemisia tabaci. Its description in RNAcentral is "lncRNA ENSASIAIIG012621". Lineage: Eukaryota; Metazoa; Arthropoda; Insecta; Hemiptera; Aleyrodidae. The record is from RNAcentral.